This 630-nucleotide ribosomal RNA is filed under the name uncultured Acidobacteriota bacterium. RNAcentral's name for it is "bacterial SSU rRNA". It matches the Rfam family "Bacterial small subunit ribosomal RNA", at positions 8 to 667 of the family's 1533-position model. The record is from RNAcentral. Lineage: Bacteria; Pseudomonadati; Acidobacteriota.
AGAGUUUGAUCCUGGCUCAGAAUCAACGCUGGCGGCGUGCCUAACACAUGCAAGUCGAACGAGAAAGCGGGGGCAACUCCGCGAGUAAAGUGGCGCACGGGUGAGUGACACGUGACUAACCUACCUCGGAGUUCGGAAUAACCUCGGGAAACCGGGGCUAAUACCGGAUAACACCUACGGGUCAAAGGAGCAAUUCGCUCUGAGAGGGGGUCGCGGCUGAUUAGCUAGUUGGUAGGGUAAUGGCCUACCAAGGCGACGAUCAGUAUCCGGCCUGAGAGGGCGCACGGACACACUGGAACUGAAACACGGUCCAGACUCCUACGGGAGGCAGCAGUGGGGAAUUUUGCACAAUGGGGGAAACCCUGACGCAGCAACGCCGCGUGGAGGAUGAAGCCCUUUGGGGCGUAAACUCCUUUCGAUCGGGACGAUGAUGACGGUACCGGAUGAAGAAGCACCGGCUAACUCUGUGCCAGCAGCCGCGGUAAUACAGAGGGUGCAAGCGUUGUUCGGAAUUAUUGGGCGUAAACGGUGCGUAGGCGGUGCGGUAAGUCUGUGGUGAAAUCUCCGGGGCUCAACUCGGAGCCUGCCGCGGAAACUGCCGUGCUGGAGUAUGGGAGAGGUGAGUGGAAU